GUAUUACCCCUUUCAAAUUCUUCAAAUGCCCACGAAGAGUACUUUUUCCGGCUAGUCUCUUCUGAGACUUCGAAAUUCCUUUUUCCACUCACUAUUUCCAGUAACACCAUACCAUAACUGUACACAUCCGAUUUGGAUGUUAUAGGAAGAUUGGCCAGCCACUCUGGAGCCAAGUAUAGUAACACCAUACCGUAACUGAACACAUCCGAUUUGGAUGUUAUAGGAAGAUUGGCCAGCCACUCUGGAGCCAGGUAUCCUCUAGUACCCCUCACAUGACUUGUCAAGGUUCUAUGCCUGUGGUCCUUUGGGUUAACGAGCUUGGCUAGGCCAAAAUCUGAUACUUUGGCAGUGUAGUUCUCAUCCAACAAUAUGUUCUCAGGCUUUAUGUCACA
This 392-nucleotide long non-coding RNA is filed under the name Nicotiana benthamiana. RNAcentral's name for it is "long non-coding RNA (NBEN_LNC012837)". The record is from RNAcentral. Lineage: Eukaryota; Viridiplantae; Streptophyta; Magnoliopsida; Solanales; Solanaceae.